Molecule: ribosomal RNA, 500 nt
Filed under: uncultured bacterium
Lineage: Bacteria
Description: partial 16S ribosomal RNA
Rfam family: Bacterial small subunit ribosomal RNA
Source: RNAcentral
AUUGAACGCUGGCGGCAUGCUUUACACAUGCAAGUCGAACGGUAACAGGGUGCUUGCACCGCUGACGAGUGGCGAACGGGUGAGUAAUGCGUCGGAACGUGCCGAGUAGUGGGGGAUAACGCAGCGAAAGUUGUGCUAAUACCGCAUACGUACUGAGGUAGAAAGUGGGGGACCUUCGGGCCUCACGCUAUUCGAGCGGCCGAAGUCUGAUUAGCUAGUAGGUGAGGUAAAGGCUCACCUAGGCGACGAGCAGUAGCGGGUCUGGGAGGAUGAUCGGACACACUGGGACUGAGAAACGGCCCAGAAUCCUACGUGCGGCAGCAGUGGGGAAUUUUGGACAAUGGGCGAAAGCCUGAUCCAGCCAUGCCGCGUGUCUGAAGAAGGCCUUCGGGUUGUAAAGGACUUUUGUCAGGGAGGAAAUCCCUAGUGCUAAUAACACUGGGGGAUGACAGUACCUGAAGAAUAAGCACCGGCUAACUACGUGCCAGCCGCCGCGGUAA